RNAcentral lists this long non-coding RNA (2117 nucleotides) under Triticum aestivum (bread wheat). RNAcentral's name for it is "long non-coding RNA (TAES_LNC008004)". Lineage: Eukaryota; Viridiplantae; Streptophyta; Magnoliopsida; Poales; Poaceae. The record is from RNAcentral.
ACCAAAACAGCACUAAAGAGCAUUGUUUUCACAUCAAAUAGUAUCAAACAUUCCAGUUUCGAGUUUCUAGAAACACAAGUGCAUAAAUGUAUUAUUACAUGCCAGAUGGCCAAUUCAUAGAACCAAAAAUAAGGACCAGUAGCUGUUGGUUGCCAUCUCGACAUGCCUUCUCUGAAUCUUCUACUCAUCUCAGUGCUCUAGCAAGAACUCUACAAAAUGCAAUAAACAUCAGGUUAGCUAAAGUACAUGUUGAACUUGACAAGUUGACAUGAACAAAGAAUAUGGAUGUUACAUUCAUCAUCGGAAGAAGAAUUUUCAUCAUCUAGCUCAACCACUUCUGCCUUUCUCUUAUUACCUACAACAACUACAACAACAUGUUAGCUAUAAACUCUAAAGUACAUAGCAUGAAGAAAUAAACAAAGUAAGUUAAACUAUAUACCAUCUUUCUUCUCCAAUUUGCAGCGAUACCAAUCUUGCAAACACAUCAAGGCCUCAACUGUCUUUGGUUUAAGUGAGGCUCGGCUCGAGGUUAUAACCUUCUUACUCAAGCUGAAAGCAGAUUCUAAUGCAACACUUGACACGGGAACAACAAGGAUAUCACGUGCCAAUCUUGCUAGCUGCGGAUACCUAGCUGCAGACUUGCUCCAGUAAUCCAAGAUAUCAAUGUUCUCAUUCAACCUCUUGGUAGGUUCAGCCAAGUACAAUUCCAAUUCAGAUUCCUCGUCAACUGUGCUCGUGCUUUCCACAUACUGAUCAUAGUCAGAAAAGGCACCAAGUCCACAAGUGCUUGACAUACUAGUUUUGGGUAAGUUGUCAUGAACAGGUACAACACUACCAUAUUCAUUAAAUAAAGAAGUCAAGGUUCUUCUAACAUCAGCAAGACGACGCUUGGUAUCAUUCUCUUCAUACAGCUUGGAGUAGGAAUAAGCCAAGAACUUGAACUUAAUACGGGGAUCAAGAACAGCAGCACAAGAUAGAAAUACGCUAUAGUCAGACCAAUAUUUCAUGAACUUUUCUCUCAUAGCAAACAGCAUUGGACCCAUGUAGCUAUUUAUACCAGCGGUAGCCUCAAUAAUAGCAGUAUGGACUAGAUAAAAAUUCAUGAAGUACAAGUUGGCUGUUGGAUAUUUUGUUCCUGAGAAAACAGUAGUUACCUUGAAGAAAACCUCCAAAAACUGAUACAUAUGAGAUACCUUGGACAAUUCUUCCUCACUUGGCCAAAAAUGCACCUUGAAGAUGCUAUCCCUCUCAGAAUACCACUGCAACACUUUUUUAAAGUACAAAUAGGAGCCAAGCAUAGUAUAUGUUGAAUUCCAACGAAUAGGCAUGUAAGGUUUCAACUUCUUUGAUUCUUCUAAGUUGAAAGUAGUUGUAGCAGUGCUAUAAAACUUGUGCAGCCUAUUACUUGAAGCCUUUAGAUACAUUAUACCAUCUCUAAGUUUGGCCACAACACCAUCAAUCAAUGUCAAACCAGAUUGAACUACCAAAUUCAGUAUGUGUGCACAACAACGAAUUUGAAAGAAUUUGCCGGACAAAGGUAAAGCACCUUGAGACAAGUGGGUGCACUGCUGUUGUGCUUUGGCUGUAGGCUGCUGCUGUGCUUCGGCUGUAGGCUGUUGUUGUGCUGCCGAUUGUCCACUUCCUGAACGUGCACUAGAUGCUGACCUCUUCCCCCUUUUACUUGCAACUUUCUGCCGUACACGAGGAGGAUUUGGAGGUACAAUAAACAGCUCCAUCUCACCCUCAUGCCCUUCUAAUUCUUCAGGAUGAUAAUCUGCUUCAUCACCCUCAUGCCCCUCCAUGCUAAAUCUAUAUCAACAACAAGAAAUAUAUAUGUCAAUAGCAAGAAAUAUAUAUGUCAACAGCAGCAAGAAAUCUAUAUCAACACACACUUAUAGCCAUUGUUUCAUCAAUCAUCUACACACACUUGUAUUCAUGUACAACAGCGAGUUCAUCUACAGUUCUACACACACUUAUAUUCAUGUACAGCAGCAACAAAUCUGCAUCAAAUCCAUCAUGUUGACAUGUAUGUACACCUGCUAAUCGGUUAAGAACGGAAAAAAAAUCCGCAUCAAAUUACCUUAAGAGCAGAGGUGCGGCGACGCUCGGACGACAGC